AUUGAACGCUGGCGGCAUGCCUUACACAUGCCAGUCGAACGGUAACAGGUCUUCGGAUGCUGACGAGUGGCGAACGGGUGAGUAAUACAUCGGAACGUGCCCGAUCGUGGGGGAUAACGAGGCGAAAGCUUUGCUAAUACCGCAUACGAUCUACGGAUGAAAGCGGGGGAUCUUCGGACCUCGCGCGGACGGAGCGGCCGAUGGCAGAUUAGGUAGUUGGUGGGAUAAAAGCUUACCAAGCCGACGAUCUGUAGCUGGUCUGAGAGGAUGAUCAGCCACACUGGGACUGAGACGCGGCCCAGACUCCUACGGGAGGCAGCAGUGGGGAAUUUUGGACAAUGGGCGAAAGCCUGAUCCAGCCAUGCCGCGUGCAGGAUGAAGGCCUUUGGGUUGUAAACUGCUUUUGUACGGAACGAAAAGCCUCUUUCUAAUAAAGAGGGGUCAUGACGGUACCGUAAGAAUAGGCACCGGCUAACUACAUG
Molecule: ribosomal RNA, 482 nt
Filed under: uncultured bacterium
Lineage: Bacteria
Description: partial 16S ribosomal RNA
Rfam family: Bacterial small subunit ribosomal RNA
Source: RNAcentral